UGGGGAAUAUUGCACAAUGGAGGGAACUCUGAUGCAGCAACGCCGCGUGCGGGAUGACGGCCUUCGGGUUGUAAACCGCUUUCAGCCAUGACGAAGCUUUUGUGACGGUAGUGGUAGAAGAAGCACCGGCUAACUACGUGCCAGCAGCCGCGGUGAUACGUAGGGUGCGAGCGUUGUCCGGAAUUAUUGGGCGUAAAGAGCUUGUAGGCGGUUUGUCGCGUCGAUAGUGUAAACACGCAGCUUAACUGUGUGCCUGCUGUCGAUACGGGCUGACUAGAGGAGGGUAGAGGAGAAUGGAAUUCCCGGUGGAGCGGUGGAAUGCGCAGAUAUCGGGAGGAACACCAGUGGCGAAGGCGGUUCUCUGGACCUUUCCUGACGCUGAGAAGCGAAAGCGUGGGUAGCAAACAGG
This 409-nucleotide ribosomal RNA is filed under the name Fusobacteriota bacterium. RNAcentral describes it as "Fusobacteria bacterium partial 16S ribosomal RNA". It matches the Rfam family "Bacterial small subunit ribosomal RNA", at positions 355 to 776 of the family's 1533-position model. Lineage: Bacteria; Fusobacteriati; Fusobacteriota. The record is from RNAcentral.